This is a long non-coding RNA of Ictalurus punctatus (channel catfish), 2283 nucleotides long. The record is from Ensembl. Lineage: Eukaryota; Metazoa; Chordata; Actinopteri; Siluriformes; Ictaluridae.
CCGGGAAGUGCAGGUGGCACAAAAGUUCCCGCAACAAUUUGAAAAUAGGAUAAAACAAAGGAUACCAGAAGCAUCCAGUUAUUGUUUCGUGAUUCAGAAAGUGUUUAAUAUCUGGAGCAGGGUCACUGAUACUCGCACUACGAGACUAAACACUGCAAGUAGCAACAGUUCCAACAGUCAUAAAGACAUUUGAGGGGGAGAACGUCACCCUCCCCUGCUAUGGAGACACUCGGGUUGAUGCCAUGAAUGUACAGUGGAAGAAAGGUGAAGAAACAGUGCUGGAAAUCACUUCUGUGACUACCGGCGACGUCUCAGCAGGCAGAUGUUCGAUCUCAAAAGAAGGUUAUCAAGAUGGCGACCUCUCACUCCACAUUAGUUCAGUUAACCGGUCUGAUGCUGAAUUUUAUCGGUGCCUUAUUCACGAUGAAUCUCGUGAUGGAGACCCACGUGCUGUUCUACUAAAGGUGGAAGAACGCCGACCUGAGCACCAACCACCCCCAGCCUGCAACAGCAACACAGAAGCAGCAUUAGCAGUAAUACUAGCAGUAACACUAACACUGGUCAUCCUCGGAGUGAUUAUUUACUGUGUGAGAAGAUUCAAAGUAACUAAGAAUAAGGCAUCCACCGAUCCAGGGCCUCCUGUUCAAGAGGAAAACCAAAUGAUCCCAAAGCCUUCUUCAACACGGAGAUUCCAGGACUAGUUCAUAGUCAAAGAUCUGCCACACUGUUUUUUUUUUUUUUUUAAACUUUUCUUAUGAAGGGAAGCAAAAUUAGAUAUUAAGGGAUUAGAAAUCUUUAAAAACAUAGAAAUUCAGCAAAGCUGUAGGAAUGCCAUGGUGGUGUCUAGGGAUGUCACAAUACCAAAAAUCUAGUAGUCGGUACCAACACCACCAAAAGUACAUGAUACUCGAUACCAAAGUCGAUACCAUGGUGUGGUAUAAAAAUGAAAUUAAAAACUCUCCUGGAGGACAUCCUCCUCUGGCUGAUACUGGCAAAAAAAAAAAAAAAAAAGAGAGGGAGGGAUAUUAUAGUUAUCAAACACUGUCUGACAAUGAGUGGAGUGACUCCUAAACUCGUGCACGCAUGUACACACACACACACACACACACACACACACACACACACACAUCCUUAUACUGUGAAUGCAAGCAUUAGUUUAAAUUCACUGAUAUGCUGGCAGGCCAAAAAGAUUUAUUAAAAGCAUGAACACUAGAAUAAUUGUUAGUGACAUUAGGCUACAUUUUGCUGACAGGACACGGGCUGAAUGGCGAUGCAUGGAGGCCCAUUAGGAGGUAGUUUAUAACACUGCAAUGUGUUCGCGUCGUUAACAAAUAACUGGCUAUCGCAAACAUUACAUGGAGCAUAACGUUAGCUGGUUUAACGGCCACAAUGCCAGCUGCCUCAAACAAACAAACAAACAAACAAAUAAUAUACAACCUGUGUUUCAGGUGCUUCGCCAAAUUUCGCCAAAUAUAUGUUUGUUGUCAUCCGCCUCGAAUGCGGAGUAUUUCUAUAUUCCAGACCACCUUUCCUCUCAACGAGUCACGGUGGAGCUAAACUUCUGUAGUUUUUCCCGUGUGUUUGUAGUUGUUGUUCUUCACCAUUUGUGGACCGGCUAAAAGACGUGCGCUUAUUUGCUCCCCCCGGUCAGGUUUGGAAGAAUUGCAAACCGGUACUUUCAUUAGAAACGGUACCAACACUACUGCAGAAAAACAAGUUCAGUCACAUUUUAAGAAUGUUGGUACCGACUUGGUACCAGAGUAUCAGUUCUCGUGACAUCCCUAGUGGUGCCUAAUGGUGGUGUCUAAGCAUGGUGUAGUUAGUUCUCUUUGUUCUGGUGUGCCGAUAUUCCUGCUUUAUUUCAGUCAUUUUUGCAGUUCACAUGAAAGAAAUGUGAACUCGGACUUUGAAAGAGCCAGUUUUACAUGCACUAUGAACUGAGCCAUAUGGUUAUACCGUAAAUAAUCAUGAUGUAUAUUUAUACAUGCUGUAUGUACAGGUACAUCUUUUAAAAAAUUGAAUAUUGUGGAAAAGUUAUUUUUUACUGUAAUUUAAUUCAAAAAGUGGAACUUUUAUAUAUUCUAGAUUCAUUACACGAAGUGAAAUAUUUCAAGCCUUUUUUUUUGCUUUAAUCUUGAAGAUUACGGUUUACAGCUCAUGGAAAUCUUCAUUUUUCUUUAAUUUUUUUUCUGUAAUUGUUCUUUGUAGUUUCGACGUUUCGUAAAUUAUAGAGGUGUAUAAUUAACUUAUUCUUCAUUUCUGCUAAGAUUUGGGUAAAUGGGA